AUUGAACGCUGGCGGCAUGCCUUACACAUGCAAGUCGAACGGCAGCAUAGGAGCUUGCUCCUGAUGGCGAGUGGCGAACGGGUGAGUAAUAUAUCGGAACGUGCCCUAGAGUGGGGGAUAACUAGUCGAAAGACUAGCUAAUACCGCAUACGAUCUACGGAUGAAAGUGGGGGGUCGCAAGACCUCAUGCUCCUGGAGCGGCCGAUAUCUGACUAGCUAGUUGGUGGGGUAAAAGCCUACCAAGGCAACGAGCAGUAGCUGGUCUCAGAGGACGACCAGCCACACUGGGACUGAGACACGGCCCAGACUCCUACGGGAGGCAGCAGUGGGGAAUUUUGGACAAUGGGGGCAACCCUGACCCAGCAAUGCCGCGUGAGUGAAGAAGGCCUUCGGGUUGUAAAGCUCUUUUGUCAGGGAAGAAACGGUAGUAGCGAAUAACUAUUACUAAUGACGGUACCUGAAGAAUAAGCACCGGCUAACUACGUGCCAGCAGCCGCGGUAA
RNAcentral lists this ribosomal RNA (502 nucleotides) under uncultured bacterium. Its description in RNAcentral is "partial 16S ribosomal RNA". It matches the Rfam family "Bacterial small subunit ribosomal RNA", at positions 30 to 523 of the family's 1533-position model. The record is from RNAcentral.